Molecule: unclassified non-coding RNA, 240 nt
Filed under: soil metagenome
Description: partial contains 5.8S ribosomal RNA, internal transcribed spacer 2, and large subunit ribosomal RNA
Source: RNAcentral
AAGACUAUAGACCUGCGGAGUACCUGCGGAAGGAUCAUUAACGUGCCUUCGGGGCGGCCCGAUCCCGGGAAACCGGGGUUUGGUUCGCGCCGGAUCUGGCCCCACCCGUGUUUACCUGACUCUGUUGCCUUGGCGGGCCCGUCCGGCCCCACGGCCAGACCGCCGGAGGCUUAACCGCCCCUGGUCAGCGCCCGCCGAUGGCCUCAACUGAACUCUGAACUGAAGUGAUUGACUGUCUGA